This 445-nucleotide ribosomal RNA is filed under the name uncultured soil bacterium. RNAcentral describes it as "bacterial SSU rRNA". It matches the Rfam family "Bacterial small subunit ribosomal RNA", at positions 26 to 455 of the family's 1533-position model. The record is from RNAcentral.
AGGACGAACGCUGGCGGCGUGCUUAACACAUGCAAGUCGAGCGGUAAGGCCUCUUCGGGGGUACACGAGCGGCGAACGGGUGAGUAACACGUGAGCAAUCUGCCCUUCACUUCGGGAUAAGCCUCGGAAACGGGGUCUAAUACCGGAUAUGACCGUGCCAUGCAUGUGGUGUGGUGGAAAGUUCUGGCGGUGGAGGAUGAGCUCGCGGCCUAUCAGCUUGUUGGUGGGGUAAUGGCCUACCAUGGCUUCGACGGGUAGCCGGCCUGAGAGGGUGACCGGCCACGACUGGGACUGAGACACGGCCCAGACUCCGUACGGGAGGCAGCAGGUGGGGAAUAGUUGGACAAGUGGGACGAAAGCCUAGAUCCAGCCGAACGCCGGCGUGGAGGAUCGGACGGCCGUUUACGGGUUCGUUAAACCCUCUUUUACCGAGGCCGACCGGACG